UCCAUAAAGUGGGCAUAAGUGAGAACAGGAAAGCCAGAGGGUCAACAACCCUGCUAUCGGGAAUGAGCCCAACAUAGACCUUGCAGCACAAAAAAAAAAAAAAAAUGUUCUACCAAAGCUCUAACAAAAAAAAAAAGAACAGUGGCAAGCCGACAGCACUUGAAAUGGACAAGCAAGAGAGAGCAUCCAGACACGGCCGUUGCUGAAGAUGGCUCUCGAUAUCCUCGGGCCAAGAAGAUGAAUUCGCGUAACAUGAAGGCUGGUGCAUACACCUGACUGUACCACAACGAGGAAAGCAAACAAAUGAAAAUUUAAAAAGCACGCACGUUUCACACUGAGAAUCUCCAACCUCACCUAACAGCUCACUGCCUAAUGAGCUUUGAGAGAGGCAAAAAUUUGUACAGAUGUUUACAACUUGCCUAUCACAGAUCACAAAGCACUGUUGGCCACUGCCACGGAUAACUGCAGAAAUGUUUUUCUAGAAGCGCGACAAUUAAUGCAGCGUGCAAGGUGAACAAAAAAAAGAAAGAA
RNAcentral lists this long non-coding RNA (531 nucleotides) under Dermacentor andersoni. RNAcentral's name for it is "uncharacterized LOC126538741". Lineage: Eukaryota; Metazoa; Arthropoda; Arachnida; Ixodida; Ixodidae. The record is from RNAcentral.